Molecule: ribosomal RNA, 492 nt
Filed under: uncultured bacterium
Lineage: Bacteria
Description: partial 16S ribosomal RNA
Rfam family: Bacterial small subunit ribosomal RNA
Source: RNAcentral
AGUGAACGCUGGCGGUAGGCCUAACAUAUGCAAGUCGAACGGCAGCACAGUAAGAGCUUGCUCUUACGGGUGGCGAGUGGCGGACGGGUGAGGAAUACAUCGGAAUCUACUUUUUCGUGGGGGAUAACGUAGGGAAACUUACGCUAAUACCGCAUACGACCUACGGGUGAAAGCAGUGGAUCUUCGGACCUUGCGCGAUUGAAUGAGCCGAUGUCGGAUUAGCUAGUUGGCGGGGUAAAGGCCCACCAAGGCGACGAUCCGUAGCUGGUCUGAGAGGAUGAUCGGCCACACUGGAACUGGGACACGGUCCAGACUCCUACGGGAGGCAGCAGUGGGGAAUAUUGGACAAUGGGCGCAAGCCUGAUCCAGCCAUACCGCGUGGGUGAAGAAGGCCUUCGGGUUGUAAAGCCCUUUUGUUGGGAAAGAAAAGCAGCAGGUUAAUACCCCGCUGUUCUGACGGUACCCAAAGAAUAAGCACCGGCUAACUUCGUG